RNAcentral lists this ribosomal RNA (254 nucleotides) under uncultured bacterium. Its description in RNAcentral is "partial 16S ribosomal RNA". It matches the Rfam family "Bacterial small subunit ribosomal RNA", at positions 524 to 776 of the family's 1533-position model. The record is from RNAcentral.
UACGGAGGGAGCUAGCGUUGUUCGGAAUUACUGGGCGUAAAGGGCGCGUAGGCGGUGGUGUAAGUCAGAUGUGAAAACCAUCGGCUUAACCGAUUGGAUUGCAUUUGAUACUGCAUCACUUGAGUUCAGUAGAGGAGAGUGGAAUUCCCAGUGUAGCGGUGGAAUGCGUAGAUAUUGGGAAGAACACCAGUGGCGAAGGCGGCUCUCUGGACUGACACUGACGAUGAGGCGCGAAAGCUAGGGGAGCGAACAGG